RNAcentral lists this ribosomal RNA (246 nucleotides) under uncultured bacterium. RNAcentral's name for it is "partial 16S ribosomal RNA". It matches the Rfam family "Archaeal small subunit ribosomal RNA", at positions 474 to 720 of the family's 1478-position model. The record is from RNAcentral.
UACCAGCACCCCGAGUGGUCGGGACGUUUAUUGGGCCUAAAGCAUCCGUAGCCGGUUCUACAAGUCUUCCGUUAAAUCCAGCUGCUUAACAGAUGGGCUGCGGAAGAUACUAUGGAGCUAGGAGGCGGGAGAGGCAAGCGGUACUCGAUGGGUAGGGGUAAAAUCCGUUGAUCCAUUGAAGACCACCAGUGGCGAAGGCGGCUUGCCAGAACGCGCUCGACGGUGAGGGAUGAAAGCUGGGGGAGC